UACGUAGGGGGCUAGCGUUGUCCGGAAUCAUUGGGCGUAAAGAGCGUGUAGGCGGCUCGGCAAGUCCGCUGUGAAAGUCCAGGGCUCAACCCUGGAAUGCCGGUGGAAACUGCUGAGCUAGAGUCCGGAAGAGGUGAGUGGAAUUCCUGGUGUAGCGGUGAAAUGCGCAGAUAUCAGGAGGAACACCAAUGGCGAAGGCAGCUCACUGGGACGGUACUGACGCUGAGACGCGAAAGCGUGGGGAG
Molecule: ribosomal RNA, 245 nt
Filed under: uncultured Conexibacter sp.
Lineage: Bacteria; Bacillati; Actinomycetota; Thermoleophilia; Solirubrobacterales; Conexibacteraceae
Description: partial 16S ribosomal RNA
Rfam family: Bacterial small subunit ribosomal RNA
Source: RNAcentral